AACGUACGCUGGCGGCACGCCUAACACAUGCAAGUCGAACGAAGUAGCAAUACUUAGUGGCAGACGGGUGAGUAACAUGUGGGUAUCUGCCCUUUGGCCUGGAAUAACACGAGGAAACUUGUGCUAAUACCGGAUAAGUCUUUACGGAGAAAGCUUUAUGCACCAUUGGAUGAGCCCGCACUUGAUUAGUUUGUUGGUGGGGUAAUGGCCUACCAAGACUGUGAUCAAUAGCUGAUUUGAGAGGAUGAUCAGCCACAUUGGGACUGAGACACGGCCCAAACUCCUACGGGAGGCAGCAGUGGGGAAUCUUGCACAAUGGAGGAAACUCUGAUGCAGCGAUGCCGCGUGAGUGAAGAAGGCCCUUGGGUUGUAAAGCUCUUUCGUCGGGGAAGAAAAUGACUGUACCCGAAUAAGAAGGUCCGGCUAACUUCGUGCCAGCAGCCGCGGUAAUACGAAGGGACCUAGCGUAGUUCGGAAUUACUGGGCUUAAAGAGUUCGUAGGUGGUUGAAAAAGUUAGUGGUGAAAUCCCAGAGCUUAACUCUGGAACUGCCAUUAAAACUUUUCAGCUAGAGUAUGAUAGAGGAAAGCAGAAUUUCUAGUGUAGAGGUGAAAUUCGUAGAUAUUAGAAAGAAUACCAAUUGCGAAGGCAGCUUUCUGGAUCAUUACUGACACUGAGGAACGAAAGCAUGGGUAGCGAAGAGGAUUAGAUACCCUCGUAGUCCAUGCCGUAAACGAUGUGUGUUAGACGUUGGAAAUUUAUUUUCAGUGUCGCAGCGAAAGCGAUAAACACACCGCCUGGGGAGUACGACCGCAAGGUUAAAACUCAAAUGAAUUGACGGGGACCCGCACAAGUAGUGGAGCAUGUGGUUUAAUUCGAAGAUACGCGCAGAACCUUACCAACACUUGACAUGUUCGUCGUGACUUUAAGAGAUUAGAGUUUUCGGUUCGGCCGGACGAAACACAGGUGCUGCAUGGCUGUCGUCAGCUCGUGUCGUGAGAUGUUGGGUUAAGUCCCGCAACGAGCGCAGCCCUCACUUUUAGUUGCCAUCAUUAAGUUGGGCACUCUGAAAGAACUGCCAGUGAUAAGCUGGAGGAAGGUGGGGAUGACGUCAAGUCCUCAUGGCCCUUACGUGUUGGGCUACACACGUGCUACAAUGGUAUCUACAACAGGAAGCAAGACUGCGAGGUCAAGCAAAUCCUUAAAAGAUACCUCAGUUCGGAUUGCACUCUGCAACUCGAGUGCAUGAAGCUGGAAUUACUAGUAAUCGUGGAUCAGCGUGCCACGGUGAAUGCGUUCCCGGGUCU
This 1306-nucleotide ribosomal RNA is filed under the name uncultured bacterium. RNAcentral describes it as "bacterial SSU rRNA". It matches the Rfam family "Bacterial small subunit ribosomal RNA", at positions 28 to 1381 of the family's 1533-position model. The record is from RNAcentral.